GCUUACGGCCAUACCACCCUGAACGCGCCCGAUCUCGUCUGAUCUCGGAAGCUAAGCAGGGUCGGCUGGUAGUACUUGGAUGGGAGACCGCCUGGGAAUACCAGGUGCUGUAAGCU
This 116-nucleotide ribosomal RNA is filed under the name Maylandia zebra (zebra mbuna). Lineage: Eukaryota; Metazoa; Chordata; Actinopteri; Cichliformes; Cichlidae. The record is from RNAcentral.